Molecule: ribosomal RNA, 229 nt
Filed under: Vibrio cholerae
Lineage: Bacteria; Pseudomonadati; Pseudomonadota; Gammaproteobacteria; Vibrionales; Vibrionaceae
Description: partial 16S ribosomal RNA
Rfam family: Bacterial small subunit ribosomal RNA
Source: RNAcentral
CACCAAGGCGACGAUCCCUAGCUGGUCUGAGAGGAUGAUCAGCCACACUGGAACUGAGACACGGUCCAGACUCCUACGGGAGGCAGCAGUGGGGAAUAUUGCACAAUGGGCGCAAGCCUGAUGCAGCCAUGCCGCGUGUAUGAAGAAGGCCUUCGGGUUGUAAAGUACUUUCAGUAGGGAGGAAGGUGGUUAAGUUAAUACCUUAAUCAUUUGACGUUACCUACAGAAG